This 253-nucleotide ribosomal RNA is filed under the name uncultured bacterium. RNAcentral's name for it is "partial 16S ribosomal RNA". It matches the Rfam family "Bacterial small subunit ribosomal RNA", at positions 524 to 776 of the family's 1533-position model. The record is from RNAcentral.
UACGUAGGGUGCGAGCGUUAAUCGGAAUUACUGGGCGUAAAGUGUGCGCAGGCGGCUUCGCAAGUCGAGUGUGAAAUCCCCGAGCUUAACUUGGGACUUGCGCUCGAAACUACGGAGCUGGAGUGUGGCAGAGGAAGGUGGAAUUCCACGUGUAGCGGUGAAAUGCGUAGAGAUGUGGAGGAACACCGAUGGCGAAGGCAGCCUUCUGGGCCAACACUGACGCUCAUGCACGAAAGCGUGGGGAGCAAACAGG